ACAUACUUCAACCUAUGGGA
This 20-nucleotide unclassified non-coding RNA is filed under the name Mus musculus (house mouse). RNAcentral's name for it is "oocyte_clustered_small_RNA579". The record is from RNAcentral. Lineage: Eukaryota; Metazoa; Chordata; Mammalia; Rodentia; Muridae.